Molecule: long non-coding RNA, 288 nt
Filed under: Lathyrus oleraceus (garden pea)
Lineage: Eukaryota; Viridiplantae; Streptophyta; Magnoliopsida; Fabales; Fabaceae
Description: Pisum sativum (pea) long non-coding RNA (PSAT_LNC016158)
Source: RNAcentral
AUCGGUACCGAAUAAGUAGAGGUAACCAAUUUGUAGAGAAUUCAGAUAGUAAGUUGCCUUAAUAGGUUGAGUGCAUUGUCCCAUGUUAGCUCUUCAUUGUUAAUUGUAUAAUUAGUAGAAUUCCCUUCCUUUUAACAACUGACUCAUACAUUGUUAGCUCUAAACCAAACUCACGGCAGACAAUGCUACAUACCAACUAAUUUCAGCCCAGAAUUUCGACUGACAUUAACCACCCUAUAUGAUAAAUCCAACUACGCAUUUGCCCAGCCGAUUCACAGCAAAAAAGGC